UACGAAGGGGGCUAGCGUUGCUCGGAAUCACUGGGCGUAAAGCGCACGUAGGCGGCUUUCUAAGUCAGGGGUGAAAUCCUGGAGCUCAACUCCAGAACUGCCUUUGAUACUGGAGAGCUUGAGUCCGGAAGAGGUGAGUGGAACUCCGAGUGUAGAGGUGAAAUUCGUAGAUAUUGGGAAGAACACCGGUGGCGAAGGCGGCGACCUGGUCCUUGACUGACGCUGAGGCGCGAAAGCGUGGGGAGCAAACAGG
This 253-nucleotide ribosomal RNA is filed under the name uncultured bacterium. RNAcentral's name for it is "partial 16S ribosomal RNA". It matches the Rfam family "Bacterial small subunit ribosomal RNA", at positions 524 to 776 of the family's 1533-position model. The record is from RNAcentral.